GCGAGCGGCGGGGCGGGCCGCGGGGAACUCCCGAGGAAGCUCCUCCCCCACCCGGGAGAUGCGUGGCGCCGCGAGGCGCCGGGGGAGACCCCGGGCGACGCCACAGAAACGAGACCUCCCGCAUUCGGAUGAGGAUGACGCGGCCUCUAAGCCGUUGACGAGGAUGCGGGAUUGGGUGAAACGGGCGUCCCGCGCGGGGAAAGGUGUGGGAGGCGAUGUGCAGGUCUCCCGGCGAAGCCUCCCCCGAGACCGACUAGACGAAUCCCGCCUAAAAACAGAAGGAGGGCUACCGCCGCACGC
Molecule: RNase P RNA, 300 nt
Filed under: Nitrososphaeria archaeon
Lineage: Archaea; Thermoproteati; Nitrososphaerota; Nitrososphaeria
Description: RNase P RNA component
Rfam family: Archaeal RNase P
About the family: Ribonuclease P (RNase P) is a ubiquitous endoribonuclease, found in archaea, bacteria and eukarya as well as chloroplasts and mitochondria. Its best characterised activity is the generation of mature 5'-ends of tRNAs by cleaving the 5'-leader elements of precursor-tRNAs. Cellular RNase Ps are ribonucleoproteins.
Source: RNAcentral